This 1530-nucleotide long non-coding RNA is filed under the name Homo sapiens (human). Its description in RNAcentral is "HSALNT0299776". The record is from RNAcentral. Lineage: Eukaryota; Metazoa; Chordata; Mammalia; Primates; Hominidae.
CCUGGCCAGAAUCCACAGAGGAGGGCGCCAAAUCCUCUCUCGUGAGAUCUGCCCUUCUCACGAAACUUGCGCUUGCUUCCUCUCGCGGUCCCAGCAGGCAGCUGAUUGUUUAGAUGGAGAGACCACAGGGGAGAGUUACCUGUUGCUGUGGGAGCAAUGAGGAGUUAUGGAGGAAAGGAGAGGUACCAAGACCAGAUGAGGACUGAACAUUAGACUUCCCAUGAUUGCAGAACUGUCCUUCGCUGCAGCUGUAAAAUCGCGGCAAGGCAGGAUUCAUCCUGGUGGUGGGUGCAGGCCCUGAUUCCCGUCACUGAGCAGGGAUACAGCAGGAAGCUCCACCUCUGAGCACAGCAAGGGGAUUGUUCUGAUUCUGAGUGUGUCUGUUUGCUAGAGCGGUGGCCACACUUCCCCGGUUCUGCAAUUGUGGAUAAUUUAGCAUGACUUGUUGGGCAUUGCAAAUAUCAUGUCGUGGAGAGUCUGGGCUCUGUUAUUUUUUCCAGCUGUGUGUGUGUGUGUGUGUGUGUGUGUGUGUGCAUGCACGCGCACGCGUGUGUGUGAUGAGACCAUUAAGUUGGUUUGACAGACUGCAAACUGCCUGUUGAACAGCAGCUGAAUUCUUAAUUUGGUUCUUUUAUCCUUCUUGUGUUUCGUGGAGUUUGCCUCACACAUUCAGCGUUCGGAUGUCAACUGGAGUUCUGGAUGGAAGUUAUACACAGAAUUUGGGGUUCUCCAUCUCUGAUUCUCUCCUUCCUUCUCAAUUUUUAGCAGGCAUAUUCCCAAUUUCUUCAGGAGGGAAAGACCAAGGGUUUCCUGUUGGUGUUUUGGCAACUCCGCAUGGCAUGGCGUCAGACUCACCCUAAGCUAAAAACCAUAAAAGCCCUCUUUCCCUUUGUUUCUUCCACACAUCACACUCCCCUCCCAUAAUCCAUGCUUUUCAUCUCCACUCACUUUUUAUAUUUGCUCAUUGUCUAGAUAUUCCCUGCAGGAGAGUGACAUUAGACGGGCUCACUUGGCCACCAUGGGAAGCAGAAAUCCAGAGAUGGACACAUUCCCUAAAUGCUUCUAUGCUGCCCUGUAGGAGAGGUGUUACUCUACUCACAUUGCCGUGAGGAAACUGAGGCUCAGAAGUAGCAUCCUUUGUCUGAAAGGACAUAGCUCGUGAGCGCUGGAAGCAUAGUUUGGUGUCUGACUUGGCCAAUUCCAAAGCUUGUGUGAUUUGCACCAGCACUCAGAUGCAUUCUUCCCUCUCCCUCCCUACCCAAGAAAAAUGCUAUCCCUCCCUUUUCCUCUAAUUAGAAAAUUCUUUUGUAUAGUAGGAGAUUAUUAGGAAAUAAUCAUUUCUCUCCAAAAGUAACACACUGAGGAGGCAGUAUCUGAGGGUUUUGCCCAAAUAUGGCCUUUCAACCUCUGAAUUCAUGCCUACAGAAAUUCCAAGAUGUUUGUCAUAGCAUUUUUAUUCUAACCCUCCUUAAUGAGUGAUACAGUUUGCCUGUGUCCCCACCCAAAUCUCAUCUUGAAUUGUAGCUCCCA